UAAUUGAAGAGUUUGAUCAUGGCUCAGAUUGAACGCUGGCGGCAGGCCUAACACAUGCAAGUCGAGCGGCAGCACAAGGGAGUCUACUCCUGAGGUGGCGAGCGGCGGACGGGUGA
RNAcentral lists this ribosomal RNA (116 nucleotides) under Shewanella sp. M16. Its description in RNAcentral is "partial 16S ribosomal RNA". It matches the Rfam family "Bacterial small subunit ribosomal RNA", at positions 1 to 109 of the family's 1533-position model. The record is from RNAcentral. Lineage: Bacteria; Pseudomonadati; Pseudomonadota; Gammaproteobacteria; Alteromonadales; Shewanellaceae.